UACGAAGGGGGCUAGCGUUGCUCGGAAUCACUGGGCGUAAAGGGUGCGUAGGCGGGUCUUUAAGUCAGGGGUGAAAACCUGGAGCUCAACUCCAGAACUGCCUUUGAUACUGAAGAUCUUGAGUUCGGGAGAGGUGAGUGGAACUGCGAGUGUAGAGGUGAAAUUCGUAGAUAUUCGCAAGAACACCAGUGGCGAAGGCGGCUCACUGGACCGGAACUGACGCUGAGGCGCGAAAGCGUGGGGAGCGAACAGG
This 253-nucleotide ribosomal RNA is filed under the name uncultured bacterium. Its description in RNAcentral is "partial 16S ribosomal RNA". It matches the Rfam family "Bacterial small subunit ribosomal RNA", at positions 524 to 776 of the family's 1533-position model. The record is from RNAcentral.